RNAcentral lists this ribosomal RNA (253 nucleotides) under uncultured bacterium. RNAcentral describes it as "partial 16S ribosomal RNA". It matches the Rfam family "Bacterial small subunit ribosomal RNA", at positions 524 to 776 of the family's 1533-position model. The record is from RNAcentral.
CACGUAGGGCGCAAGCGUUGUCCGGAAUUAUUGGGCGUAAAGAGCUCGUAGGCGGUCUGUUGCGUCCGCUGUGAAAACUCGGGGCUUAACCCCGAGCCUGCAGUGGAUACGGGCAGACUAGAGGUAGGUAGGGGAGAAUGGAAUUCCCGGUGUAGCGGUGGAAUGCGCAGAUAUCGGGAGGAACACCGGUGGCGAAGGCGGCGACCUGGGUUGAUACUGACGCCGAGGAGCGAAAGCGUGGGGAGCGAACAGG